Molecule: ribosomal RNA, 495 nt
Filed under: uncultured bacterium
Lineage: Bacteria
Description: partial 16S ribosomal RNA
Rfam family: Bacterial small subunit ribosomal RNA
Source: RNAcentral
AUUGAACGCUGGCGGCGUGCCUAACACAUGCAAGUCGCACGCGAAAGGGGCAACCCCAAGUAGAGUGGCGGACGGGUGAGUAACGCGUAGGAAUCUACCUAGUAGUGGGGGACAACCCGGCGAAAGCCGGGCUAAUACCGCAUACGACCUAAGGGUGAAAGCAGGGGAUCGCAAGACCUUGCGCUAUUAGAUGAGCCUGCGUCCGAUUAGCUAGUUGGUGAGGUAACGGCUCACCAAGGCGACGAUCGGUAACUGGUUUGAGAGAACGACCAGUCACAUUGGGACUGAGACACGGCCCCAAAUCCUACGGGAGGCAGCGGUGGGGAAUAUUGGACAAUGGGGGCAACCCUGAUCCAGCGACGCCGCGUGUGUGAAGAAGGCCUUCGGGUUGUAAAGCACUUUCGGCAGGGACAAACAAGACGGAGCUAACAUCUCCGUUCCUGAUGGUACCUGAAGAAGAAGCACCGGCUAACUCUGUGCCAGCCGCCGCAGUAA